This 208-nucleotide ribosomal RNA is filed under the name Glomus macrocarpum. Its description in RNAcentral is "5.8S ribosomal RNA". The stretch from base 2 to 155 matches the Rfam family "5.8S ribosomal RNA". Rfam says of the family: 5.8S ribosomal RNA (5.8S rRNA) is a component of the large subunit of the eukaryotic ribosome. Lineage: Eukaryota; Fungi; Glomeromycota; Glomeromycetes; Glomerales; Glomeraceae. The record is from RNAcentral.
UCACUUUCAACAACGGAUCUCUUGGUUCUCGCAUCGAUGAAGAACGUAGCGAAGUGCGAUAAGUAGUGUGAAUUGCAGAAUUCCGUGGAUCAUCGAAUUUUUGAACGCAAAUUGCACUCUCUGGUAUUCCGGAGAGUAUGCCUGUUUGAGGGUCAUUAAAAUCAAAAUCGAUUUGUUACUUUGGUAACGUUUCGGAAUUGGGCCAUCU